GACGAACGCUGGCGGCGUGCUUAACACAUGCAAGUCGAACGGAAAGGCCCUGCUUUUGUGGGGUGCUCGAGUGGCGAACGGGUGAGUAACACGUGAGUAACCUGCCCUUGACUUUGGGAUAACUUCAGGAAACUGGGGCUAAUACCGGAUAGGAGCUCCUGCUGCAUGGUGGGGGUUGGAAAGUUUCGGCGGUUGGGGAUGGACUCGCGGCUUAUCAGCUUGUUGGUGGGGUAGUGGCUUACCAAGGCUUUGACGGGUAGCCGGCCUGAGAGGGUGACCAGGCACAAUGGGACUGAGAUACGGCCCAGACGCCUACGGGAGGCAGCAGGGGGGAAUAUUGCACAAUGGGCGGAAGCCUGAUGCAGCAACGCCGCGUGCGGGAUGACGGCCUUCGGGUUGUAAACCGCUUUCGCCUGUGACGAAGCGUGAGUGACGGUAAUGGGUAAAGAAGCACCGGCUAACUACGUG
RNAcentral lists this ribosomal RNA (468 nucleotides) under uncultured bacterium. RNAcentral's name for it is "partial 16S ribosomal RNA". It matches the Rfam family "Bacterial small subunit ribosomal RNA", at positions 28 to 507 of the family's 1533-position model. The record is from RNAcentral.